RNAcentral lists this long non-coding RNA (251 nucleotides) under Mytilus galloprovincialis (Mediterranean mussel). The record is from RNAcentral. Lineage: Eukaryota; Metazoa; Mollusca; Bivalvia; Mytilida; Mytilidae.
UAUGGGAAAGUCUAAAUGUUUCUCGGAGUUAUCUGAUCUUGUCUCAUUUCAUACGUAAAGUCAAGAGAGAGUCUGAAUGACAUUGACGUCAUUGGGAAAUUUGUUACUUCUUAGACAAACCACAAAUAACACAUGUUAGAUUUUUUUCACGUUAUCUUAUACAAUUUUACUAACUGGAGGAUAAGUACUUUUCAUACGAAAACUAACAGUUUUUUCUGAAACAAUUUUAUAAUUAAUUAUUUACUGCGAGA